CUAAUGGUUAAUUUGUGCAGUUCACAGUUAACUUGGGGCAUUGUCAUUCAUGGUUUAUAGGAAUAAUAACUGGAAAUCGAUUUGUAUGCAUAUGUGUCAUGUGUGGAGAAUGACCCUCUACCUAGCCCUUCACCCCUUAAGUCACCUUAAUUUCGUGCAACCUUUACUUAGUUCUGUAACUUAUUAGUUUUAAGUCAAUUUUCGUCCAAACAAACCCCCUUUUCAUGUUUUGAGUUAAUUUAGUUAGAUUUUCGUCCAAAUCACCCCUUAGUGCUUGUUUUGAGUUAUUUGAGACAAUUUAGUUUGUUUUGAGUUAGUUUAGCUUAGUUUUAUGUUUUUGAGUCUAAUUAGUGUAGAUUAGCAGCCCUCAUGGUCCUCAGCCUAGAACGAUCUAUAAUUUCAUAUACUACAACUAUCAAAAUGAGGGUUUAAGUUUGUGUGCUAUUUUAUAUCACAUCACAAAGCAGAAUCGUGUUCAGAGCAUACAACUAAUCAAGAAUAAUGUGAAAGAAUUAUUAUAAAAGAUAUGAACAACGGAAUAGGUCCUACCUUGAGAAGAUGCCUCGAAGGGCAUUUUCGUAAAUUCACCUUAAUAGUAAAAAAAAAAUGUAAUAAUUAGGGACGGGUCGUUACAGAAAAUGGGAGAUUUUUUUAGAGAAAGGAGAGACUAGUGUUUGCAAUGCUUUCUAAUCACAUAUAUGCUCAUGCAUUAGUUGGUUCCCUUCGACCUUUUAUGUAGCCCAUUGUUAGGUACCCCUGGCUUUUAAUGGCUUUCAAGAGGUUUAAUGAAAUGGAAAUAAUUAACGAAAGGGAAACGAAUUGAGAGCCGCGGAUUGUUUUACAUAGACCACAUGGUUGGGUGUGUGCUUGGGCCCUUGACUUUCAAUGGCUUUCAAAAGGUUUGAUGAAAUGAAAAAUCCCUGCUUUCAUCAAUGUGAGUUUGAUUCUUAACACACAUUCUCAUUUGUGGUGAAAUUUCAAGCUUAACAUGUGGACAAUACAACUCGGGUGACGUAGAGUACGUGUAGCCAUUGGACUUCACACGUGGGAUAAUCAGCUCUGAUACUAUAAAGAAAGUUGAGGUUCUACUCUAACAGUUCCACCAUAAAACCAAUUAGUAAUAUAAGGAAUAGAUGAACCACUUAUAAGCACAUGUAAAGUCACUUCUCUCAUCAAUGUGAAUUCUUUCUUAAGAAAGAGAGAAUUUUUUUCUUUUACCACAAUUAAAAAGAUCAAUUGUUAAUCUUUGUAUAUAAAGAUCUAAUAAAUCUUUGUAUAGUUAAAUUUUACAUAAAAGAAAACUUAUAUAACUGAGUGAUAUUAUAUAUACUAAAACCCAGUUGGGUUCCGGCACUGUUCAGUAAUAAUGUCCGGACAGAUCUGCCCCUAGUUUGUUUGGGUUUUGGCGCUGGUUUCUUCCUUUUCUAUAGUAAAAUUCCUUUUUGCCCGUGCUGGGUGAGUGCUUUUCCAGUGGCCGAAUUGCCCUUCGGCUUUUUCAAGCCUUCUUAUUGUUUUUGGUGGUUCGUGCAGGGACAAGUUGGGAAUUGUGUGUGACACAUGUCGGUCAUCGUGCUAUUCUCUUUUGGGGUUUAUUUUGCUUGCUUUUUGUUUCCGUUUCUCACUUGCAUUGGUGGUUUUCUAUCUCUCUCAGCUUCUCUUUUCUUUUGGUUCCUGUUAUGUGCUUCUCUUUGGUGCGCUUUUGUGUUUUGUUCUUCUCAGCCGUGGUUUUCAGAACGUCGUAGGUGCUUCCUUCUUCCGAUAACUCUGUGGUGUGUGAUUUUCUUUUAGAUUUUUGUUUUCCUUUGUAGAUUUUUAUGUUGGUUUGCAGAACGGGUUUUCUUCUGUUGCGUUUAAAGAGAUCUAGACUUCGUUGGGUUUUUUCAGUACAUUGUUUAAUUUUUGUGAUUUUCUUUGUUUGGAUGAUGGGUUCAAAUGGAUUUUAGGGUUUUAAACUGUGAAAGGGUUUUCUUCUGUUGCGUUUAAAGAGAUGUGGACUUCGUUGGUUUUUUUUUUUUUUUUCCAGUUCAUUUGUUUAAUUUUUGUGAUGUUCUUUGUUUAGGUAAUCGGUUCGAAUGGAUUUUAGGGUUUUAAACUGUGAGAGGAUUCGACUCCUGUGGCAAGAGAGGUCUAGGUGCGUCAUUUGGGGAAGCAGAGGAUGGGGAAAGAGAAACCUUAAUCGUUUCCUUUCGCUAUUCCGAGGGUUUCAGAUCUCUAAUUGGGGUAAAGAAUUCCUGCUGUUUGCCCAUUUUUUCUGUUUGGGAUUUCUAGCCUGUGGCCGGAUUUUUUGUUGAUUAACUACUAUUUUCAAGGGCGGUGUUUUUCCAGCCCGUUGUGGGACAAGUGUGAUUCGACUAAGGUAUAUUUUAUAAUCGUUUUCUUUCGGUUUUUUUUGUUUUUUUUGUUUUUUGUUUGGAUGAAACCUUAAUCGUUUCCUUUUAUUGUUAAUUGUGGUGUUCUCUUGGCUUUUCCCUGUUAAAAGAGAAUUUUGUAUUUUUGUUCUUCAGUUGGCAAAUCUCGGAUUUUCUGGUAUUUGCAAUGUUGUUGUAAUUUUUUGGGUAUGUUUUUUGCCCUUUUGUUUUUUCUGCUUGGUACAUGGAUUUGUAAUUGUUGGGUUUAUAUGGGUUUGUAGUUUUUGGGAAAAAGAUGAAAGGGGUUAUUGAGGUUCUCUCUAUUUCGAGUUUAUCCUGUGGAUUUUUGUUUUCCAUUCCACUGUUGUCUCUCAUUUUGUGUUGCCUCUCUGAUUCUGGCUUUGUCUGCGUGUGUCAAAGGAUAGAAACGAGCUGAAGUCAAAUUUCUGAGGCUUGGUUCUGCUCCUUGGGUCGCUGCCCUGGAGAUUAAAUUAUAAAAAUUCAGUGUUUCCACGUUGCCGAUUCCAACUGGUCGUUGCUGAGAGGAUCAAAUUGAAGGAAAAGAAAGUCAAGUAUACGAAUGAGUUAGAAAGUAAGGUGUGACUAUUUCGAAGCACUUGUGACGCUACUAUUAUAUUUUGGCCAUAAAAUCUGUAACUAAUUUCCAAGUAUACAAGAAGGUUGUUGGGUUGAGUUCGGUUACACAAAUAACACCGCAGUAUAUCAUACAAAGAAUUUGAAAAAUCUUGAGUAUUUUGGAUUUAAAGCUAUUUGUUCUCACCUUCCAAGGCGCUUUGUCCUCAAGUUGUUUGUUUCCAUCAUGUCUGAAAAAUGUACAAAUGAUCAAACAAAUGAUGCUAUAAAACGAAAGAAAAGCGUUACUGACAGUGAAUCUAAUACAUUGGUUGACGAUGGUCAUCAGCGAAAAAGAAUGUGUAGAGCGAGUUAUAUGCAUAAUUCUGAAGAUGUUAUUAUGUCUGUAACUGACACAUUUAUUUGCGAAUAUUCAUCAGUUGAAUAUCGAUGUUCCUCCAGUACAUCUACUAACCACUGUGUGAUUGAGCCUGUUAACGAUGAUGAAAUGUUGGAUAUCA
Pyrus x bretschneideri (Chinese white pear) is the source of this 3442-nucleotide long non-coding RNA. RefSeq lists it as uncharacterized. Lineage: Eukaryota; Viridiplantae; Streptophyta; Magnoliopsida; Rosales; Rosaceae. The transcript is spliced from 5 exons. The record is from RefSeq and is a predicted model, not a curated record.